Molecule: small nuclear RNA, 113 nt
Filed under: Mesocricetus auratus (golden hamster)
Lineage: Eukaryota; Metazoa; Chordata; Mammalia; Rodentia; Cricetidae
Description: U4 spliceosomal RNA
Rfam family: U4 spliceosomal RNA
About the family: U4 small nuclear RNA (U4 snRNA) is a component of the major U2-dependent spliceosome.
Source: Rfam by way of RNAcentral
AACUUUGUGCGGUGGCAGUAUCAUAGCCAAUGAGGUUUAUCUGAGGCACAAUUAUUGCUAGUUGAAAACUUCUCCUAAAUCCCUGGUACAAUAAAAUGAUGACAUGAUGAUGU